Carlito syrichta (Philippine tarsier) is the source of this 363-nucleotide non-coding RNA. NCBI's taxonomy places the organism in Eukaryota, Metazoa, Chordata, Mammalia, Primates, Tarsiidae. The record is from the annotation of a RefSeq genome assembly.
AUGACCUGGACCUGGAGGAUCUUGCUCUUUGUGACAGCAGCUACAGGUGCCCACUCCCAGGUUCAGUUGGUUCAGUCUGGGGCUGAGGUGAGGAAACCAGGGGCCUCAGUGAAGGUAUCCUGCAAGGCUUCUGGAUACACCUUCACCAGCUACUAUAUGAACUGGGUGCAGCAGGUUCCUGGACAAGGACUUGAGUGGGUGGGAGGAAUUGACCCUGAAGAUGGUGAGACAAGCUACGCACAGAAGUUCCAAAACAGAGUCACCGUGACUAGUGACACAUCUUCAAACACCGUCUAUAUGGAGCUGAAAAGCCUGAGACCUGAGGACACGGCCAUAUAUUAUUGUGCGAGAGACACAGCGUGA